This 50-nucleotide non-coding RNA is filed under the name Prorocentrum micans. The record is from RNAcentral. Lineage: Eukaryota; Dinophyceae; Prorocentrales; Prorocentraceae.
ACAUAUUUGUGCACGGAAUGACAAAAAAAAAAAAAAAAAAAAAAAAAAAA